This 282-nucleotide unclassified non-coding RNA is filed under the name Ramaria amyloidea. RNAcentral describes it as "partial contains 5.8S ribosomal RNA, internal transcribed spacer 2, and large subunit ribosomal RNA". Lineage: Eukaryota; Fungi; Basidiomycota; Agaricomycetes; Gomphales; Gomphaceae. The record is from RNAcentral.
CGCAUCUUGCGCCCCUUGGUAUUCCGAGGGGCAUGCCUGUUUGAGUGUCGCGUGAACUCCUCGCCCCCUUCCGACAUCGUUCGGUCGGGCGGCGGAUUUGGACCGUGCCGCCGCGAGGCGGCUCGUCUUGAAAUGCAUCGGCCUGGUGCCCGUCCGGUUCCGACUAGGUGUGAUAAACGUCAUCGCCGAAAAGUCCGGUCCAUGCCUCGCCUUACCGCCCUCGGGCAAACUUUUUCAUUGCGCUCUGACCUCAAAUCAGGUAGGACUACCCGCUGAACUUAA